UAGAACUUGAUUAAAUGAAACAAAUAUGGGGGAAGGACCAUUGCUGAAUUUCGGCCAGCUUGAAGAAGGAACAUAAAUUGUAUGGUUUGAUGCAUUAGAAUGAGUUUAAAAGCUUUGAUUAGUUGAAUGGUUAAGGUUAAGUGCACUAGUUGUGAUUUAAUGCAUGAGAUGGAAGAGCUAGGGUUUGAAUGUUAGGGUUUUGAGGCAAAAUUUUGGAGAAAUGCAUAAAUAGCAUGUUUAACCUAUUGUGAAAUGAAAUAAUGGUCAAUUAUGACCA
RNAcentral lists this unclassified non-coding RNA (277 nucleotides) under Hevea brasiliensis (rubber tree). The record is from RNAcentral. Lineage: Eukaryota; Viridiplantae; Streptophyta; Magnoliopsida; Malpighiales; Euphorbiaceae.